UAAGGAAUAUUGGUCAAUGGACGCAAGUCUGAACCAGCCAUGCCGCGUGCAGGAAGACGGCCCUAUGGGUUGUAAACUGCUUUUAUACAGGAAUAAUUGCUCAUACGUGUAUGGGCUUGAAGGUACUGUAAGA
This 133-nucleotide ribosomal RNA is filed under the name uncultured bacterium. RNAcentral describes it as "partial 16S ribosomal RNA". It matches the Rfam family "Bacterial small subunit ribosomal RNA", at positions 355 to 485 of the family's 1533-position model. The record is from RNAcentral.